CGGACGGGUGAGUAAUGUCUGGGAAACUGCCUGAUGGAGGGGAAUAACUACUGGAAACGGUAGCUAAUACCGCAUAAUGUCGCAAGACCAAAGAGGGGGACCUUCGGGCCUCUUGCCAUCGGAUGUGCCCAGAUGGGAUUAGCUAGUAGGUGGGGUAACGGCUCACCUAGGCGACGAUCCCUAGCUGGUCUGAGAGGAUGACCAGCCACACUGGAACUGAGACACGGUCCAG
Molecule: ribosomal RNA, 232 nt
Filed under: uncultured bacterium
Lineage: Bacteria
Description: partial 16S ribosomal RNA
Rfam family: Bacterial small subunit ribosomal RNA
Source: RNAcentral